CCUACGGUGGGCAGCAGUGAGGAAUAUUGGUCAAUGGACGAGAGUCUGAACCAGCCAAGUAGCGUGAAGGAUGACUGCCCUAUGGGUUGUAAACUUCUUUUAUAAAGGAAUAAAACGAGGAACGAGUGCCUUGUUGCAUGUACUUUAUGAAUAAGGAUCGACUAACUCCGGGCCAGCAGCCGCGGUAAUACGGAGGACCCGAGAGUUAUCCGGAUUUAUUGGGUUUAAAGGGAGCGUAGAUGGAUUGUUAAGUCAGGUGUGAAAGUUUGCGGCUCAACCGUAAAAUUGCAGUUGAAACUGGCAGUCUUGAGUACAGUAGAGGUGGGCGGAAUUCGUGGUGUAGCGGUGAAAUGCUUAGAUAUCACGAAGAACUCCGAUUGCGAAGGCAGUUCACUGGACUGCAACUGACACUGAGGCUCGAAAGUGUGGGUAUCAAACAGGAUUAGAUACCCUUGUAGUC
Molecule: ribosomal RNA, 460 nt
Filed under: uncultured bacterium
Lineage: Bacteria
Description: partial 16S ribosomal RNA
Rfam family: Bacterial small subunit ribosomal RNA
Source: RNAcentral